GUGGGGAAUAUUGGGCAAUGGGCGAAAGCCUGACCCAGCAACGCCGCGUGAGGGAAGAAGGUUUUCGGAUCGUAAACCUCUGUCCUUAGUGAAGAGUAAGAGACGGUAGCUAAGGAGGAAGCCCCGGCUAACUACGUGCCAGCAGCCGCGGUAAUACGUAGGGGGCGAGCGUUGUCCGGAAUGAUUGGGCGUAAAGGGCGCGUAGGCGGCCUGUUAAGUCCGGAGUGAAAUUCCUGCUUUCAAGGUAGGAAGUGCUUUGGAAACUGGCGGGCUGGAGUGCAGGAGAGGUUAGCGGAAUUCCCGGUGUAGCGGUGAAAUGCGUAGAGAUCGGGAGGAACACCAGUGGCGAAGGCGGCUAACUGGACUGUAACUGACGCUGAGGCGCGAAAGUGUGGGGAGCAAACAGGAUUAGAAACCCCUGUAGUCC
RNAcentral lists this ribosomal RNA (427 nucleotides) under uncultured bacterium. RNAcentral describes it as "partial 16S ribosomal RNA". It matches the Rfam family "Bacterial small subunit ribosomal RNA", at positions 354 to 796 of the family's 1533-position model. The record is from RNAcentral.